UCUGGCUUAUCACCAGCAGUUUCCUUAUAGUUCCCGACAUAACUCGCUGGCAAAUAAGGAUGAGGGUUGCGCUCGUUGCGGGACUUAACCCAACAUCUCACGACACGAGCUGACGACAGCCAUGCAACACCUGUGUGUGGUCCGGCCGAACCGAAGGGAUGCAUCUCUGCUUCCCGCGACCACCAUGUCAAGGGUUGGUAAGGUUUUCGCGUAACAUCGAAUUAAACCGCAUGCUCCACCGCUUGUGCGAGCCCCCGUCAAUUCCUUUGAGUUUUAAUCUUGCGAUCGUACUCCCCAGGCGGAGCGCUUAACGCGUUAGCUACGAAACCGAAAGAAAUUCUCCCGAUAUCUAGCGCUCAUCGUUUACAGCGUGGACUAC
RNAcentral lists this unclassified non-coding RNA (379 nucleotides) under uncultured Rickettsiaceae bacterium. RNAcentral describes it as "contains 16S-23S intergenic spacer region". The record is from RNAcentral. Lineage: Bacteria; Pseudomonadati; Pseudomonadota; Alphaproteobacteria; Rickettsiales; Rickettsiaceae.